Molecule: ribosomal RNA, 253 nt
Filed under: uncultured bacterium
Lineage: Bacteria
Description: partial 16S ribosomal RNA
Rfam family: Bacterial small subunit ribosomal RNA
Source: RNAcentral
UACGUAGGUGGCAAGCGUUGUCCGGAAUUAUUGGGCGUAAAGCGCGCGCAGGUGGUUUCUUAAGUCUGAUGUGAAAGCCCACGGCUCAACCGUGGAGGGUCAUUGGAAACUGGGGAACUUGAGUGCAGGAGAGAAGAGUGGAAUUCCACGUGUAGCGGUGAAAUGCGUAGAGAUGUGGAGGAACACCAGUGGCGAAGGCGACUCUUUGGCCUGUAACUGACACUGAGGCGCGAAAGCCAGGGGAGCAAACGGG